UACGGAGGGUGCAAGCGUUGUCCGGAAUCACUGGGCGUAAAGGGCGCGUAGGCGGCUCGGUAAGUAGGGGGUGAAAUCCUGCGGCUUAACCGCAGGGCUGCCUUCUAAACUGUCGAGCUUGAGCACGGUAGAGGCAGAUGGAAUUCCCGGUGUAGCGGUGGAAUGCGUAGAGAUCGGGAAGAACAUCAGUGGCGAAGGCGGUCUGCUGGGCCGUUGCUGACGCUGAGGCGCGACAGCGUGGGGGAGCAAACAGG
Molecule: ribosomal RNA, 254 nt
Filed under: uncultured bacterium
Lineage: Bacteria
Description: partial 16S ribosomal RNA
Rfam family: Bacterial small subunit ribosomal RNA
Source: RNAcentral